This 1374-nucleotide ribosomal RNA is filed under the name uncultured bacterium. Its description in RNAcentral is "bacterial SSU rRNA". It matches the Rfam family "Bacterial small subunit ribosomal RNA", at positions 28 to 1381 of the family's 1533-position model. The record is from RNAcentral.
AUUGAACGCUGGCGGCAGGCCUAACACAUGCAAGUCGAGCGGAAACGAGUUAUCUGAACCUUCGGGGGACGAUAACGGCGUCGAGCGGCGGACGGGUGAGUAAUGCCUAGGAAAUUGCCCUGAUGUGGGGGAUAACCAUUGGAAACGAUGGCUAAUACCGCAUGAUGCCUACGGGCCAAAGAGGGGGACCUUCGGGCCUCUCGCGUCAGGAUAUGCCUAGGUGGGAUUAGCUAGUUGGUGAGGUAAGGGCUCACCAAGGCGACGAUCCCUAGCUGGUCUGAGAGGAUGAUCAGCCACACUGGAACUGAGACACGGUCCAGACUCCUACGGGAGGCAGCAGUGGGGAAUAUUGCACAAUGGGCGCAAGCCUGAUGCAGCCAUGCCGCGUGUGUGAAGAAGGCCUUCGGGUUGUAAAGCACUUUCAGUCGUGAGGAAGGUAGUGUAGUUAAUAGCUGCAUUAUUUGACGUUAGCGACAGAAGAAGCACCGGCUAACUCCGUGCCAGCAGCCGCGGUAAUACGGAGGGUGCGAGCGUUAAUCGGAAUUACUGGGCGUAAAGCGCAUGCAGGUGGUUUGUUAAGUCAGAUGUGAAAGCCCGGGGCUCAACCUCGGAAUAGCAUUUGAAACUGGCAGACUAGAGUACUGUAGAGGGGGGUAGAAUUUCAGGUGUAGCGGUGAAAUGCGUAGAGAUCUGAAGGAAUACCGGUGGCGAAGGCGGCCCCCUGGACAGAUACUGACACUCAGAUGCGAAAGCGUGGGGAGCAAACAGGAUUAGAUACCCUGGUAGUCCACGCCGUAAACGAUGUCUACUUGGAGGUUGUGGCCUUGAGCCGUGGCUUUCGGAGCUAACGCGUUAAGUAGACCGCCUGGGGAGUACGGUCGCAAGAUUAAAACUCAAAUGAAUUGACGGGGGCCCGCACAAGCGGUGGAGCAUGUGGUUUAAUUCGAUGCAACGCGAAGAACCUUACCUACUCUUGACAUCCAGAGAACUUUCCAGAGAUGGAUUGGUGCCUUCGGGAACUCUGAGACAGGUGCUGCAUGGCUGUCGUCAGUUCGUGUUGUGAAAUGUUGGGUUAAGUCCCGCAACGAGCGCAACCCUUAUCCUUGUUUGCCAGCGAGUAAUGUCGGGAACUCCAGGGAGACUGCCGGUGAUAAACCGGAGGAAGGUGGGGACGACGUCAAGUCAUCAUGGCCCUUACGAGUAGGGCUACACACGUGCUACAAUGGCGCAUACAGAGGGCGGCCAACUUGCGAAAGUGAGCGAAUCCCAAAAAGUGCGUCGUAGUCCGGAUUGGAGUCUGCAACUCGACUCCAUGAAGUCGGAAUUGCUAGUAAUCGUGGAUCAGAAUGCCACGGUGAAUACGUUCCCGGGCCU